This 208-nucleotide ribosomal RNA is filed under the name uncultured bacterium. RNAcentral's name for it is "partial 16S ribosomal RNA". It matches the Rfam family "Bacterial small subunit ribosomal RNA", at positions 568 to 774 of the family's 1533-position model. The record is from RNAcentral.
UGCGUAGGCGGCGCAGCAAGUCGGGUGUGAAAUCCCCCCAGCUCAACUGGGGAAUUGCGCCCGAAACUGCUGUGCUAGAGGAAUAUAGAGGUGAGCGGAACUUAGGGUGGAGCGGUGAAAUGCGUUGAUAUCCUAAGGAACACCGGUGGCGAAAGCGGCUCACUGGGUAUUCUCUGACGCUGAGGCACGAAAGGCUAGGGAGGCAACG